Molecule: long non-coding RNA, 1100 nt
Filed under: Salmo salar (Atlantic salmon)
Lineage: Eukaryota; Metazoa; Chordata; Actinopteri; Salmoniformes; Salmonidae
Description: lncRNA (ENSSSAG00000088664.1)
Source: RNAcentral
GUGUGUGUCAGUAGAGUGUGUGUCUGCGUUGUACCGUGAGUUGUACCGAGAGCUUUAGUUACUUGAUGUGGACGAGUUCCAUGUAGUCAUGGCUCUAUGUAGUACUGUGCAUUUCACAGAGUCGGUUCUGGACUUGGGGACUGUGAAGAGACCCCUGGUGGCAUGUCUUGCAUGGGGCUGUGUGUUACCUGUUUGAACAGACAGUUCUAAAUCAAAUCAAAUCAAAUUUAUUUUUAUAGCCCUUCUUACAUCAGCUGAUAUCUCAAAGUGCUGUACAGAAACCCAGCCUAAAACCCCAAACAGCACGCAAUGCAGGUGUAGAAGCACGGUGGCUAGGAAAAACUCCCUAGAAAGGCCAAAACCUAGGAAGAAACCUAGAGAGGAACCAGGCUAUGAGGGGUGGCCAGUCCUCUUCUGGCUGUGCCGGGUGGAGAUUAUAACAGCACAUGGCCAAGAUGUUCAAAUGUUCAUAGGUGACCAGCAUGGUCAAAUAAUAAUAAUCAUAGUAGUUGUCGAGGGUGCAACAAGUCAGUAACACAAGAGUAAGUGUCAGUUGGCUUUUUCAUAGCCGAUCUUUGAGAGUAUCUCUACCACUCCUGCUGUCUCUAGAGAGUUGAAAACAGCAGGUCUGGGACAGGUAGCACGUCCGGUGAACAGGUCAGGGUUCCAUAGCUGCAGGCAGAACAGUUGGAACUGGAGCAGCAGCACGGCCAGGUGAACUGGGGACAGCAAGGAGUCAUCAAGCCAGGUAGUCCUGAGGCAUGGUCCUAGGGCUCAGGUCCUCCGAGAGAGAGAAAGAAAGAGAAAGAGAGAAUUAUAGAGAGCAUAUUUAAAUUGACACAGGACACCGGAAAAGACAAGAGAAAUACUCCAGAUGUGACAGACUGACCCUAGCCCCCCGACACAUAAACUACUGCAGCAUAAAUACUGGAGGCUGAGACAGGAGGGGUCAGGAGACACUGUGGCCCCAUCCAAAGUUCGGUGCAUUCAAUUGAGUCGCCUCAUAAUUUAUAAUAAUAUUAAUAAUAAUAAUGAUUUACUUGAUGAAGAAGACAGUGUCCAUAUACUGAGUAUACUCCAUCAAAUAUCAGCCAUGAAAG